This 441-nucleotide ribosomal RNA is filed under the name uncultured bacterium. Its description in RNAcentral is "partial 16S ribosomal RNA". It matches the Rfam family "Bacterial small subunit ribosomal RNA", at positions 338 to 795 of the family's 1533-position model. The record is from RNAcentral.
CCUACGGGUGGCAGCAGUAGGGAAUAUUGCUCAAUGGGGGCAAACCCUAAACCACCAAGGCCCGUGGGAGGAUGAAGGUUUUCGGAUUGUAAACUCCUUUUGUUAGAGAAGAAAUUGACGGUAUCUAACGAAUAAGAACGGGCUAACUCCGUGCCAGCAGCCGCGGUAAUACGGAGGGUGCAAGCGUUACCGGGAAUCACUGGGCGUAAAGAGCGCGUAGGCGGGAUAGCAAGUCAGAUGUGAAAUCCUAUGGCUUAACCAUAGAACUGCAUUUGAAACUGGUAUUCUAGAGUAUGGGAGAGGUAGGUGGAAUUCUUGGUGUAGGGGUAAAAUCCGUAGAGAUCAAGAGGAAUACUGAUUGCGAAGGCGACCUGCUAGAACAUAACUGACGCUGAUGCGCGAAAGCGUGGGGAGCAAACAGGAUUAGAUACCCCUGUAGUC